This 77-nucleotide transfer RNA is filed under the name Actinomycetota bacterium. RNAcentral's name for it is "Actinobacteria bacterium tRNA-Val". It matches the Rfam family "tRNA". Rfam says of the family: Transfer RNA (tRNA) molecules are approximately 80 nucleotides in length. Their secondary structure includes four short double-helical elements and three loops (D, anti-codon, and T loops). RNAcentral also lists the same sequence under 1 other name. The record is from RNAcentral. Lineage: Bacteria; Bacillati; Actinomycetota.
GGUCGAUUAGCGCAGUUGGUUAGCGCGCUUCCUUGACAUGGAAGAGGUCAGGGGUUCGAAUCCCUUAUCGACCACCA